GUUGACCUCGGAUCAGGUAGGAAUACCCGCUGAACUUAAGCAUAUCAAUAAGCGG
This 55-nucleotide ribosomal RNA is filed under the name Verticillium dahliae. RNAcentral describes it as "partial 28S ribosomal RNA". The record is from RNAcentral. RNAcentral also lists the same sequence under 6 other names. Lineage: Eukaryota; Fungi; Ascomycota; Sordariomycetes; Glomerellales; Plectosphaerellaceae.